Molecule: long non-coding RNA, 436 nt
Filed under: Androctonus crassicauda
Lineage: Eukaryota; Metazoa; Arthropoda; Arachnida; Scorpiones; Buthidae
Source: RNAcentral
GUUCUUUGCAACAGUAAUGACUUCCUCAUCAUUGAAGAAACUUCUUCUCCAUAAAUGUCUUUUCAUAUUUUGAAACAGGAAGAAGUAUGAAGGUGUGAGGUUGAGAAGUUGGAAAAAUAUGGGGGAAUGAGGCAAAAUUUUGUAACUGCAUUUGAGCAGAAAUAUGUCUGCUCAAAUGCACACACAUUUCUGCUGCUUUCAUGUGUCUGCUCAAUUUCUAUGGCUCAAUGUGCAGGUGUAGUGUCACCUAGCAGCACCACAACUUUUGACAGCAAACCUUGUUUCAUGUCUUUUUCUCUUGUUACUAUAUACUGUCCUGUAAUUUUUAUAAUAAAUUCCUAUAGUAUACCUGAUAAAUAUUGAGGUAAACUUAUCAAGACAUGAUCCACUCUAAUUAAAAAUGAUUCACAUUACACAGCAAGGAAGAUUAGUGAGG